Molecule: non-coding RNA, 106 nt
Organism: Byssothecium circinans
Lineage: Eukaryota; Fungi; Ascomycota; Dothideomycetes; Pleosporales; Massarinaceae
Source: the annotation of a GenBank genome assembly
ACUCCAGUGGCGCAGUGGCUAGCGCGCCGUUCUUAUAAGGCUCGUCAGAUCUUUAUGGCCUCGUCUGGUAAUGCGGAUGCCGUGGGUUCGACCCCCACCUGGAGUA